GCAGUCUGCAACUCGACUACAUGAAGCUGGAAUCGCUAGUAAUCGCGAAUCAGCAUGUCGCGGUGAAUACGUUCCCGGGUCUUGUACACACCGCCCGUCACACCAUGGGAGUUGGUAACGCCCGAAGCCAGUGACCCAACCGGAAACGGAGGGAGCUGUCGAAGGUGGGACCGAUAACUGGGGUGAAGUCGUAACAAGGUAAC
Molecule: ribosomal RNA, 203 nt
Filed under: uncultured bacterium
Lineage: Bacteria
Description: partial 16S ribosomal RNA
Rfam family: Bacterial small subunit ribosomal RNA
Source: RNAcentral